This 6174-nucleotide long non-coding RNA is filed under the name Durio zibethinus. RNAcentral's name for it is "long non-coding RNA (DZIB_LNC000982)". The record is from RNAcentral. Lineage: Eukaryota; Viridiplantae; Streptophyta; Magnoliopsida; Malvales; Malvaceae.
UUUUUUUGUAUUUUAAAAAAAUAAUUUUUAUUUUUAUUUUUCAAAUACAUUUUUAAAAAAUAAAAAAUAAAAACAAAAAAUAUUUUCUCAAACCAAUCGAUCUGACCUUUUAGAAUGAAAAAAUAAAACUACGACUAAUCGUGCCUCACUGAACAUUCAUUUGAACCUAGACGGUGACUUUUGGGUUAUAUUGCAUCUUGUUAGGAAAAUGGGGUCCAGUCCCAUGUAAGUGGUUUUGGACCAAGUAAAGGCCAUGGGCCUUGAUCUUUUAUUUUACACAGAGCCCUAGCUACUUAAUAAAAAAGAGGUGGGGUUGUUUAAGGUGUGUGUCGACAACCAAGCAGAGAAAGAAGAAAAGCCAGGAAAAGCAGAGAGAGAAAAAAGAGAAGGGAGAGUUGGUUAAACGGAAGUCGAUCCGUGGUCCGAUUGAGUUGAAACCUUGUCAGGAGGUUUAUGAUUUAGAGUUAUACAUUCUGAACGGUGAAGAUCGGGUUUGAAGCUAUCUAGGAACAAAUCCAGGGUGUAUUUGUUGAGUCACUUAUUUGGUGAGAUUUCUCCAAUUGUUUCUCUAGUUGUUGAUUAGCUCUAGUUUUAGCUAGAGAAGAACUUUGUAUAACUAUUAUUUGAUAGUGAAGAUUUUUCUGGUGGCCCGUGGUUUUUUUCCUCUACACUGGAGGGUUUUUCCACGUAAAUCUUGGUGUGCUUUAUUUUUCCUGCGCAUUUGAUUAUUGAUUGUUGUCUAUUGCUUCUGUAUUGUUGUGAUUAUUGCUUCAGGCACAACAAGUGGUAUCAGAGCGAGAGUUAUUUUGAGACAUCGAUACAGAAGUAACCCAGGAUAGAAGUAAAUUCUGUUUGAGAUCAUGAAAGGUGAUACAGGUUCCAUGCUAAAAUUGACAGCAUCAAAUUAUUCAAUUUGGAAGCCUAUGAUGGAGGAUCAUCUAUACUGCAAAGAUUUGUAUGAGCCAGUAUUGGGUGAUUCGGCUAAACCAGCAGAUAUGAAAGAUGAAAGCUGGAAGAAGCUAGGUAGAAAGACGCUGGCUACAAUCAGAAAAUGGGUUGAUAUCAGCGUGUUUCAUCAUGUAGCGCAGGAGUCAGAUGCUCACAUUGUUUGAGAAAAAUUGGCAGCAUUGUAUGAGAGAAAAACAGGUAUGAAUAAAGUUAUGCUUGUUAAGAAGAUUGCAACUUUACAGUACAGGGAUGGACGAUCUGUUACAGAGCACUUGAGUAAUUUUCAAGAUAUAUUUAAUCGGAUGACUACUAUGGAACUUAAGAUGGAUGAUAAAAUGAAGGCAUUAUUUCUUUUGGGUUCAUUAUCAGACAGCUGAAAUACUCUAGUUGUGACUGUUCUUAAUUCAGCUCCUGAUUAUAAGGUGACAUUGGAGAUGGUAAAUGACAGUAUGCUUAAUGAAGAAGCGAGGCGAAAAGAUGUAGACCCUGAGAAUCAAGCUCUGGUCACAGAGAACAGGGGUAGAAACAUCGACAGAGGUCAAGACUCAAAAGGUCGUGAUAAAUCUAAACAUAAAUCCAAGUCUAGAGGUAAAGUGAAGUGUUUCUAUUGUGGUAAGACGGGUCAUAUAAAACGAAACUGUAGAAUCUUAAAGCAAGAGCGAAAAGAUGAGAAAGACAAGAGUUCAGAUAAUGGCAAUGUUGCAGCAGUGAAUUCAGAUAGUGAUUCAGUUACUUUGAUUUGUACACAUGGUGAUUGUAAUCAUGUUAGUGAUCCCGGCAUUGAGUGGAUAGUUGACACAGGAGCGACAUAUCAUUGUGUUCCUAAGAGAGAGUUGUUUACAACUUACAAAGCAGGAGACUUUGGUUGUACCAAGAUGGGAAACAAGAGUGUGUCACAAAUUGUUGGGAUUGGUGAUAUUGUUGUACAAACUAGUACAGGCUGCAUGUUGACUUUGAGGGAUGUCAGACACAUUCCAGAUAUGAGAAUGAACUUGCUUGCUAUUAAUGUCCUUGAUAAGGAGGGAUAUGAAAGUCGACAAAAGAAUGGACAGUGGAAGCUUCUCAAAGGAUCUAUGGUAGUUGCAAGGGGAAAACUAUGCUGCACAAUGUAUAAGACAUGGAUGCAAUUGAACGAUAACCAGGUAAAUACCGUUGAAAAUGAUGCUUCAGCAAACUUGUGGCACAGGAGGCUGGCACACAUGAGUGAAAAAGGGUUACAAGUUUUGGCAAGGCACUCUCUCAUUCCCUUGACCAAAGGUAUGUAUCUCGAUUCAUGUGAUUAUUGUUUGUUUGGUAAGCAUCAUAGAGUUUCUUUUCGUAAAAGUUCUCAGAGAAAAGAAAAUAGAUUGGAAUUAAUUUAUUCUGACGUAUGUGGUCCUAUUGAGGUUGAGUCAUUAGGUGGUAGCAGAUAUUUUGUUACUUUUAUUGAUGAUGCUUCACGUAAGACUUGGGUGUAUAUGUUGAAAUAUAAAAGUCAGGUACUGCAGUAUUUUCAAAAAUUUCAUGCCAUGGUUGAAAGGAUGACAGGGUUACCCUUGAAGUGUAUUCGAACUGAUAAUGGUGGGGAAUACACAUAUAAAAGCUUUGAAGAGUAUUGCUCAAAGCAUGGGAUCAGGCAUGAGAGGACAGAACCUGGAACACCGCAGCAUAAUGGUAUAGCUGAAAGAAUGAAUCGCACCAUUGUGGAAAAAGUCAGAUGUAUGUUGAGGAUGGCAAAAUUACCAAAGCCAUUCUAGGGUGAAGCAGUCAACACAGCUUGUUAUUUACUUAACAGGUCACCAUCAGUUCCUUUGGGCUUUGACAUUCCAGAAAGAGUGUGGACAGGAAAAGAUGCUUCAUACUCUCACUUGAAAAUUUUUGGGUGUAAAGCAUUCAUGCAUGUGCCGAAAGAGCAGAGAUCAAAGCUUGACAGUAAAGCUACACAGUGUGUGUUUGUAGGAUAUGGUGAUGAGGAAUUUGGCUACAGGGUAUGGGAUCCAGUAAAGAGAAAGACAGUCAGAAGCAGAGAUGUGAUCUUUCAUGAAAAAGAAACCAUAGCAGACCUUGAGAAAAAUGAGAAGACUACACGAGUUACUAUUGAGUGUGAUGUUUCAACACCGAUAGGAAUUUCACAGGAAAGAGCCACAGAUGGUGAAAAUGAGCCAGAAACAGAACUUGGGGAUAUGGAUGAGCCAGCUACAGUUGGUGAUGAGCCAGAUGCUAUUAGUUUUGAGCAGGGGGAGCAAUCCUUUCUACCUGAGAGUGUUGAGCAGGGAGAGUUACCUUCGGCAUCAAGUGAUGUAGAGUCUCAGCCUAGGAGAUCUACUAGAGAGCGCAGGCCAUCUACCAGGUAUCCAAGUUCAGAUUUUAUUUUAGUUACCAGUAAAGGGGAGCCAGAAAACUUUCAAGAUGUGCAGGCUACUCCGGAUAGAGAGCAUUGGUUAAAAGCAAUGAAAGAAGAGAUGGAGUCAUUGCGAAAGAAUGGUACUUAUGAUCUUGUUAAACUUCCAACAGGAAAGAGGCCAUUAAAGAAUAAAUGGGUGUUUAAGUUGAAAAAAGAUGGUGACAAACUAGUGAAGUACAAAGCUCGAUUGGUAGUAAAAGGUUUUUCUCAGAAACCAGACAUCGAUUUUGAUGAGAUUUUUGCUCCAGUUGUAAAAAUGAGUUCUAUUCGAGUGGUACUGGGAUUGGCAGCUAGUUUGAAUCUUGAGCUUGAGCAACUUGAUGUUAAAACUGCAUUUUUGCAUGGUGAUUUGUAGGAGGACAUUUAUAUGAAUCAGCCUGAGGGUUUUGAAGUGAAAGGGAAAGAGCACUUAGUUUGCAAAUUGAAGAAAAGCUUGUAUGGCUUGAAACAAGCUCCGCGACAGUGGUACACAAAGUUUGAUUCUUUUAUGGUGAGUCAUAGCUAUAAAAGAAUAGCAGCAGAUUCUUGUGUGUAUAUUAAACAAUUCCCUAAUGGUAACUUCAUUAUCCUAUUAUUAUAUGUUGAUGAUAUGUUGAUUGUAGGACAAGAUGCUAGUAUGGUUUGCAGGUUGAAAGAACAAUUGUCUAAGUCCUUUGAUAUGAAGGAUUUAGGUCCAGCAAAACAGAUUCUUGGUAUGGACAUUAUCCGAGAUAGGAGAGCUGGAAAGCUGUGGUUGUCACAGGAAAAGUAUGUUGAACGAGUGCUUGGUAGAUUCAACAUACAACAUGCUAAAUCAGUUAGCAGUUCACUUGCCAACCAUUUUCAUCUAAGUAAGAAAUCUUGUCCAGUGUCUAAGGAAGAGCAACUAACUAUGUCUAGUAUUCCUUAUUCUUCUGCAGUCGGUUCUUUAAUGUAUCUUAUGGUUUGUACAAGGCCUGACAUUGCUCAUGCAGUUGGUGUAGUGAGCAGAUUUCUUUCUAAUCCAGGAAAGGUUCACUGGGAAGCAGUGAAAUAGAUUUUUAGAUAUUUGAGGGGUACCUCAAAAAUGUGCUUGACUUAUGGAGUUUCACAACCAGUUCUAGAAGAGUUUACUAAUGCUGACAUGACAGACGAUCUUGAUGGUAGGAAAUCUACUUCAGGGUAUUUGUUCACUUUUACAGGAGGAGUUGUAUCUUGACAAUCUAAGUUACAGAAGUGUGUUGCUUUGUCAACUACAGAGGCUGAGUAUAUUGCAGCAACUGAAGCAUGUAAAGAAAUGCUUUGGAUGAAACGUUUUCUUCUUGAAUUAGGGUUGAAUCAGAAAGAGUAUGUGGUAUUUUGUGAUAGCCAGAGUGCUUUAGAUUUGAGUAAGAAUACCAUGUACCAUGCUAGAACAAAGCACAUUGAUGUUAGAUAUCAUUGGUUACGUUCAGUGAUUGAAGAACAGCAGAUGCUAUUGAAGAAAGUCCAUACUGAUAAAAAUGUGCCAGAUAUGUUGACUAAGAUACUUCCCAAGAAAAAGCUUGAGCUUUGCAGUAACUUGGCCGGAAUGAGUUCUCUGGCCAAGGUAAGUUCCAAAUGAAACUGCUAUGGUGAUGAAUCUCCUCCUAAUGGGGCUGGAGGGGGAGAUUGUUAGGAAAAUGGGGUCCAGUCCCAUGUAAAUGGUUUUGGACCAAGUAAAGGCAAUGGGCCUUGAUCUUUUAUUUUACACAGAGCCCUAGCUACUUAAUAAAAAAGAGGUGGGGUUGUUUAAGGUGUGUGUCGACAACCAAGCAGAGAAAGAAGAAAAGCCAGGAAAAGCAGAGAGAGAAAAAGGAGAAGGGAGAGUUGAUUAAACGGAAGUCGAUCCGUGGUCCGAUUGAGUUGGAACCUUGCCAGGAGGUUUAUGAUUCAUAGUUAUACAUUCUGAACGGUGAAGAUCGGGUUUGAAGCUCUCUAGGAACAAAUCCAGGGUGUAUUUGUUGAGUCACUUAUUUGGUGAGAUUUCUCCAAUUGUUUCUCUAGUUGUUGAUUAGCUCUAGUUUUAGCUAGAGAAGAACUUUGUAUAAUUAUUAUUUGAUAGUGAAGAUUUUUCUGGUGACCCGUGGUUUUUUCCCUCUACACUGGAGGGUUUUCCAUGUAAAUCUUGGUGUGCUUUAUUUUUCCUGUGCAUUUGAUUAUUGAUUGUUGUCUAUUGCUUAUGUAUUGUUGUGAUUAUUGCUUCUGGCGCAACACAUCUAACUAGAGGUGAGAUUGAAACCAAAUCCAUCCUACAUCAGCUCACUUGUAAUUCAGGACGUGAAACUUUUUUUCAAAUAUUGUAUAUAUUACCUUUUAUUUUAGAUUAAAUUUCAUCAAUAUUUAACAUUAUUCUAUUUUGAUUAAAAUAUUUUUUAUUAAUUAAUGGAGCCCGUAUUUUAUUAUAGGAGUCACCCAAACCUUAAAACAAAAGUGAAAUUACGCCAAAAAUCUCUACACUUUGUCAAAAUUUGAAAGUUAGUUAUUCUAUUAAAAUUCAUAUAAAUUUAUUUUUUUUAUAUUAUUUUAAUUUGAUAAUUUUAAUUCAAUAAUUAAUUUCAUUAAUUUUUUAUUGUUAAAAAUGCUGACAUACCGUUGACUGACAUGAAUGUUCUUUUUACUGACAUGAUGACUUUAUUGAUGUGGUAAUUUAGAUAAGUAAAAUUAGUUAUCAAUUUAUGCAAAUAAUUCAUGUAUUUACAUGAAAUUUAAACUUUAGUCUAUCUAGUAUAAUUUUAUAAAAAUUUCAUUCUUGUACAAGAUGAAUUUGAUAAUAUUGGUUCAAUUAUUAAUAAAAAAAAAGAUAUAUUUUUUUACCUUUUUUUUUAAAUCAUAUUUUAAUUUUUUAGAAAUUUUUUCAAAAUUUU